CAGAAGAAUUGUAGAGGCUAAUUUAGCGUAAGCUAAGACUAGAAAAAGAAGAAAAAUAAAACAGAUAAAAGUAAUCUUAAAUGGUUGGUAUAGCCCACCCUGCCGCCCAUUUUGGAAUAGGAUUUUGAACAACUUCUACAUUUCAUCUGUUUGAUAUGUUCAGAGCACAGUGAGUGUCUCUGAAAUGUUGACUGUGGUGCCUGAUGAGGAGCCCAAUUUACAUAUUCUCAAUUUAAUCUAAAGUAGGUGCUAAUUGAUUACUGCUGAAUGUCAGCAUGCUCUGAUUAUCUGUUCAAGAUGCUCUGGAAAAAGAAAAAAAAAAAUCUACAACCCGGAGCUGCAAGUACAAAGAGGGGGGUUGAAUUCAGUACGCCAUGGAAAGACUGUUUACUCUUUUACCUGAUAUUACAUAAAGGUUUUAAUUAUCCAGGCCAGAAGCUGUUGAGUGACUACUGCUUUGCCAUGUCCUUCCACAGCAGGUGGUGAAAAUGAGUUGCUUUGCACCGGUAGAUCUACUGAAUAUGCAAUGAACAAUCCCACAGCAGCCAGGAGCCCCAGCCAAGAUGGAAGAUGAGACGGUGAGCUGGGAAACAAAGGUGAAGGAGAGAGGCAAUGAAAGCAAAGCGCUCCGUACAAUAGCUAAAAUACAAAUCUCCGGAGACUUUGAGAUAUUGCAUGAACAUCAAUUUCGCAUGCCUAUUGUCUGAGUGGUAUUAGUGUGUGUAGGACUCCCCGCCCCCGUCUCUCCGAGUGAGGGGAGCAUCAUGGCAAAUCAGGAAAUGGCAUAAUCGAAUCAGCUCCAUCACAUGACGAGGUUGCAGACCGGACUGGACGAGGCACUGAAAUGACCACGUAUCAUGAACACCUGGGCACCCUCCCACUCCUAAAUUACUUCUGCGAGUAAAGGAUGUGAGAUUUAAGCUGCAGCGGGAGACAAUCUGGUCAUGGGUUUCAUUAGUGGUUCCUUUUACCAUCUGUGAGACUUUAUGGCUAAGGAACUGGAUGAAAGAGCUUUCUAGAAAAUACAACUCAAAAAUGCAAGUCAUGCUUAGGCUGUUUAUGGAGAGUUUAUUUUGUGCUUAGGAGUAAAACAAAAUGCCAGUUGUUCACAGCUGUUUGCACUGUGAGAUAACGCGCAAGUCAGAGCGCACGGCCGCAGGUUGGAGGGGUACUCUUCCCAUCCCUUGCACCCCUUUUGCCCCUACAUAAAAGUUGACAAUUAGUUUUUACUGCACAUACAUGAAGGGAGAUACAUGCUUUGGCCUCUGUGUGAGAGCAAUAAUUCUCUUAAAUUGAUGUGUCAGCGAACUAAAACUCAAUAUUUUUUUUCGCACAGUGUAUUUCGCAGUCAGAGGACCUUCACUAAUCGGAAUAAAGCAAUUUGGCUCCCUGUCAUUGCUCACUGAAAACAUAUGAGCUGGUUGGCACGUAUGGCCUCCCAGAUUUAUCAGUGUCUCCCAUCUAGUGCAUGGGAGGUUCAGGGCUGCAGCUCAGAGAGGAGUGAAUUUUUAUGAAUGUUUUUUUCCCCUCCCUGAGAAUUCCCAGAGCUAGAUUUAUUCCUCAGUUUCAGAAAUGUUUUAUUUAUUGUCCGUAUCCCAUAUCCUCUUUAGGUCAAAUCGAAGUCAUAUUUUACAUUUUUGAUUUGUAUUGCUAUGUCUUUAUUGCUUUGCUCAUUUAAAAAAAAAAAAAAAAAAGGCACAGCCCCAAAUCUGGGAGAAGUACUAUUCCCGUAGCUCUCCUUUCCUUUAUUGUGAGAGCACCACAAUAUCACAAUAUGAACACACACAGCUGUCCUUUCAGUGGGACCUGCAUAAAAAGGAUUUGCUGCAUCUUCCAUCAGGUCCACCAAAGGCCAGCUUUGGUGUCAUGUCUUUGUCAUGCUGCCUUUGAGGAAGCCCUCACCUCUCUUCCAGCUGGCCUGGUACAGCCUACACCAGUGCUCCGCUAGGACAGGUGGGAUAGCCAUGUUUUAUCAACCAGCCUGCACCACCUGCUGGCACCAAAAUGUGCCCUUUUGUGUCACUGGCGCUAUACCACCUAUACUAUACUACCAUAGUAACACUAUACAAUGUGUCUGGACAGCUCUUCCAGGGUUUGCUGAUGACUGAACUGAAAGCAGUACGGCUGGAGCAGCACUCACUGGGGAGAAGCAGUGUGGUUGGGUUCCCAUCCCUCCCUGGCCAUGUACACCACCUGGCACAGGGCUGGGACCAGCACUGUUAGCACCAUCGCAGUGAUGAUCCUGUGUCUGUGACGAUGGCACCCAAGGCCUUGUUCUUGUCCUCUAUAAAUGAGCUCAGUGUUGAGAGCUCAGGAUUUAUCAUGGAUGGGUCCUAAAGCACAA
Cygnus olor (mute swan) is the source of this 2344-nucleotide long non-coding RNA. RefSeq lists it as uncharacterized. The record is from RefSeq and is a predicted model, not a curated record. Lineage: Eukaryota; Metazoa; Chordata; Aves; Anseriformes; Anatidae. The transcript has 2 exons.